UCAGGCCUAACACAUGCAAGUCGAACGAGGUUCAUUCUUUCGCUUACUCUCGGGUAAGUUGAAUGGACUGCAGUGGCGGACGGGUGCGUAACGCGUAAGAACUUACCUUUUGGUGGGGGAUAACAGUGGGAAACUGCUGCUAAUACCCCAUAAUGCUGAGGAGCUAAAAGUGAAAACUGCCAAAAGAGAGGCUUGCGUCUGAUUAGCUAGUUGGUGGGGGUAAGGGCCUCCCAAGGCGACGAUCAGUAGCUGGUCUGAGAGGAUGAUCAGCCACACUGGGACUGAGACACGGCCCAGACUCCUACGGGAGGCAGCAGUGAGGAAUUUUCCGCAAAGGGCGAAAGCCUGACGGAGCAAUACCGCGUGGAUGAAGAAGGCCUGUGGGUCGUAAAAUCCUUUUCUCAAGGAAGAAGUCCGACGGU
This 422-nucleotide ribosomal RNA is filed under the name uncultured bacterium. RNAcentral describes it as "bacterial SSU rRNA". It matches the Rfam family "Bacterial small subunit ribosomal RNA", at positions 42 to 476 of the family's 1533-position model. The record is from RNAcentral.